GAUGAACGCUAGCGGGAGGCCUAACACAUGCAAGCCGAGCGGUAUUGUUUCUUCGGAAAUGAGAGAGCGGCGUACGGGUGCGUAACACGUGUGCAACCUGCCUUUAUCUGGGGGAUAGCCUUUCGAAAGGAAGAUUAAUACUCCAUAAUAUAUUGAACGGCAUCGUUUAAUAUUGAAAGCUCCGGCGGAUAGAGAUGGGCACGCGCAAGAUUAGCUAGUUGGUGAGGUAACGGCUCACCAAGGCGAUGAUCUUUAGGGGGCCUGAGAGGGUGAUCCCCCACACUGGUACUGAGACACGGACCAGACUCCUACGGGAGGCAGCAGUGAGGAAUAUUGGUCAAUGGGUGCAAGCCUGAACCAGCCAUCCCGCGUGAAGGACGACUGCCCUAUGGGUUGUAAACUUCUUUUGUAUAGGGGUAAACCUACCCUCGUGAGGGUAGCUGAAGGUACUAUACGAAUAAGCACCGGCUAACUCCGUGCCAGCAGCCGCAGUAA
Molecule: ribosomal RNA, 495 nt
Filed under: uncultured bacterium
Lineage: Bacteria
Description: partial 16S ribosomal RNA
Rfam family: Bacterial small subunit ribosomal RNA
Source: RNAcentral